Molecule: long non-coding RNA, 1468 nt
Filed under: Anas platyrhynchos platyrhynchos (common mallard)
Lineage: Eukaryota; Metazoa; Chordata; Aves; Anseriformes; Anatidae
Description: lncRNA (ENSAPLG00000024515.1)
Source: RNAcentral
GUAGCAUUAAGGUUGGAACUCCUGUGAUGACCCAUAUGAAAUCUGCCUACUGCUUGACGAAGUAAUUUGCCUACUCUUCUGUGAUCUCGCCACAUUUCCUAAACUGAGCUAGGAGAACAGAGAGAACUCCCCUCCACACAAUUCCCCACAACAGUUCUCCAGCCAAAUCCUAUAACAAGUUAGCCAAAAGAAAAUAAAAAUCAGUUAACGUGCUCCCUGACAGCUUCCAGGGUGAAAGCAGAGGAAUGAAGGAAUAGGAUGUAAAGCAAGAUAGGAUAGAAUAGGAUGUAAAGACACUAAGGUUUUAAUUCAAAUCCCACCAGCUCCCACAGCCCACAUGAGACCUCUCAUACACAGAUGAGCUGCAGCGUCUGGUGUUACUGCCCCAGUGGGAUACCCAGCCCCUGGGCCUGGGAGGUUUGAGCCUUUGUGAAUCAUCUGAGUGCUGCAGCUCACAGAGAUGGCAAGCAAAAGCAAACUUCCCUCUUUUUGAACCGCAGUGAUUCACGAGCAUCUCAGCUGUCUGAAAAGCAGGGUGGGGUAGAAAGCUGUGAGCAGACACUCUGUUUGCUGAAUGCCACCCUACUUGUGAUGGAAGCGUGUGUAGCCGUGUUACCUCGGUGUCCUGACAGUAUACCCCUCCUUAACACAUGCUUACCUCCUCUUCUCUUUGUUAUACAGCCCCAGGCACUGGUCUGUUUUAGCAAGUGUGUAGCCACAGGCUGAGGGAAGUAACUUUUGCCCCGUGUUGACCAUUUGUCAGCCUGUUUUGGAAUCUCCAUACGUGGAGAUAUUUAACACUUGAUUGGAUGCACUUUGAAGUCAUACCCUGUCUGGACCAAGAAGUUGGACCAGACGCUCUCCAGAGGUCUUUACCAACCUCAUUUACAUGGUGUGGGUCACCCCUUCACCACAUACUCAAAAGUGACUUCACAGAGCAGAAGAACUCACAGCAAAACCAUCAUCACGUACUUCUCUGUGCGGCUUCCUCAACAUGUGACGAGAAGAAUUCAGAGGGAUGCUUGCCAAGUGCUUCCUGACCCAAAUCCUAGAGGUAUCCUCCAUCUGCAGCAACAGACAGCUCACUGUGGUCUGUCAUUACCUUCUGUUUGGUUUUCAACACCAGCUAUCCUAGCUAAUGAAAGAAGAUGCAACCACUGAAGACAAUGGUCAGACGAAUGUUAGCAGCAUUUCUGGGAAGCUUUGAGGAAGACUCCUCUGCCCUUGCACAGGCCAAAAUAUAGAACAGUAAUAACAGUCAUAACUGAGGCAUGCAUACACAAGCGUGCUGCUUUAGCAAACGAGGUGAGCUCAGCUGCUGUGAAAACAAGCCCUACAAAGUCUGGUGGAGAGGAUUUAGGGACCAGAGAUGAAGGGCAGAGCUAACUGUUCACUUUCUGUCACAGCACCACACCUACCUACCCGGCCCCUAUCUGACGGCAAUAAAUUUCAUUGCCUGAAACGGACA